Molecule: ribosomal RNA, 434 nt
Filed under: uncultured Lachnospiraceae bacterium
Lineage: Bacteria; Bacillati; Bacillota; Clostridia; Lachnospirales; Lachnospiraceae
Description: partial 16S ribosomal RNA
Rfam family: Bacterial small subunit ribosomal RNA
Source: RNAcentral
ACGGGAGGCAGCAGUGGGGAAUAUUGCACAAUGGGGGAAACCCUGAUGCAGCGACGCCGCGUGAGUGAAGAAGUAUUUCGGUAUGUAAAGCUCUAUCAGCAGGGAAGAAAAUGACGGUACCUGACUAAGAAGCCCCGGCUAACUACGUGCCAGCAGCCGCGGCAAUACGUAGGGGGCAAGCGUUAUCCGGAUUUACUGGGUGUAAAGGGAGCGUAGACGGCUUUGCAAGUCUGAAGUGAAAGCUCGGGGCUCAACUCCGGAACUGCUUUGGAAACUGUAGAGCUAGAGUGCAGGAGAGGUAAGUGGAAUUCCUAGUGUAGCGGUGAAAUGCGUGGAUAUUAGGAGGAACACCAGUGGCGAAGGCGGCUUACUGGACUGUAACUGACGUUGAGACUCGAAAGCGUGGGGAGCAAACAGGAUUAGAUACCCUGGUA